This 500-nucleotide ribosomal RNA is filed under the name uncultured bacterium. Its description in RNAcentral is "partial 16S ribosomal RNA". It matches the Rfam family "Bacterial small subunit ribosomal RNA", at positions 28 to 507 of the family's 1533-position model. The record is from RNAcentral.
GACGAACGCUGGCGGUGUGCUUAACACAUGCAAGUCGAACGGGUCUGCCCUGUUUUUUGCGGGGUGGGUCAGUGGCGAACGGGUGAGUAACACGUGAGUAACCUGCCCCUCACUUCUGGAUAACCGCUUGAAAGGGUGGCUAAUACGGGGUGUUCUGGCUGUGCCGCAUGGUGUGGCUGGGAAAGAUUCACUUUUGUGGUGUUUUGGUGGGGGAUGGGCUCGCGGCCUAUCAGCUUGUUGGUGGGGUGAUGGCCUGCCAAGGCUUUGACGGGUAGCCGGCCUGAGAGGGUGGGCGGUCACACUGGGGCUGAGAUACGGCCCAGACUCCUGCGGGAGGCAGCAGUGGGGGGUAUUGCACGAUGGGCGGAAGCCUGAUGCAGCGACGUCGCGUGAGGGAUGGAGGCCUUCGGGUUGUGAACCUCUUUCGCCGGUGAAGAAGGUCCUGCUCUUUGUGGUGGGGUUGACGGUAGCCGGGUUAUGAAGCGCCGGCUAACUACGUG